UUUUGGAGAAGAAGAAUUAGAAGCUGAGUGCUUAAUUCAGAAUCUCAAGAAUCAUCAGUUUCUCAAUUCUGGUCAAGGGGAGAAUAAAUCCUUCAUACCCCUAAUGGACCGUAAUCGGCUAAUGAUGAAGGUUUCUCUUUAAGAUUGUGAAUUGUGAUGAGUGGGACUUGAUGGCCGGCGUAGAACAGUUCAGAAGAGCGUGUUUUGCGACUGAUCUGACCUCUCGCCAUGUCGUAUGUUCCAGCAGUUCAUAGAUCUGAUGACUCGGAUUCCUGUUUCUUUUCACUCAGAGAAUUUAGCAAAGGCAGAGAAUUGGUGAUUGGAGUUUUAACUGAAUUCUGGUAAAAUCCUUGGAUGGCAAACGAUGAUUUGAUUAGCAGAGUUCGGUGGAUUUGAUCGGAGUUUCAGCCCGGUGGAAACGCUAGGAAUGAGUCGGUUGCGUCUUCUUCCACCUUCAGCAGAUGUUACACACGUGUCACAUACACAUGUCCCUUUUACCCAUACGUGUUCGUCUAUUUUGAUUGUAAUAGCUAUAUUGGGUUAAUUGGGCUUUCUGUACUUGGG
This 564-nucleotide small RNA is filed under the name Arabidopsis thaliana (thale cress). Its description in RNAcentral is "putative long intergenic non-coding RNA". The record is from RNAcentral. Lineage: Eukaryota; Viridiplantae; Streptophyta; Magnoliopsida; Brassicales; Brassicaceae.